UACGGAGGGUGCGAGCGUUAAUCGGAAUUACUGGGCGUAAAGGGUGCGUAGGUGGUUUGAUAAGUUACGUGUAAAAUUCCCGGGCUUAACCUGGGGCUGUCAUGUAAGACUGUUAGACUAGAGUAUGGGAGAGGGUAGUGGAAUUUCCGGUGUAGCGGUGAAAUGCGUAGAUAUCGGAAGGAACAUCGGUGGCGAAGGCGGCUACCUGGCCUAAUACUGACACUGAGGCACGAAAGCGUGGGGAGCAAACAGG
RNAcentral lists this ribosomal RNA (253 nucleotides) under uncultured bacterium. Its description in RNAcentral is "partial 16S ribosomal RNA". It matches the Rfam family "Bacterial small subunit ribosomal RNA", at positions 524 to 776 of the family's 1533-position model. The record is from RNAcentral.